GGGACACGUGGUAUCCUGUCUGAAUAUGGGGGGACCAUCCUCCAAGGCUAAAUACUCCUGACUGACCGAUAGUGAACCAGUACCGUGAGGGAAAGGCGAAAAGAACCCCGGCGAGGGGAGUGAAAAAGAACCUGAAACCGUGUACGUACAAGCAGUGGGAGCCUCUUUUAUGGGGUGACUGCGUACCUUUUGUAUAAUGGGUCAGCGACUUAUAUUCUGUAGCAAGGUUAACCGAAUAGGGGAGCCGAAGGGAAACCGAGUCUUAACUGGGCGUUAAGUUGCAGGGUAUAGACCCGAAACCCGGUGAUCUAGCCAUGGGCAGGUUGAAGGUUGGGUAACACUAACUGGAGGACCGAACCGACUAAUGUUGAAAAAUUAGCGGAUGACUUGUGGCUGGGGGUGAAAGGCCAAUCAAACCGGGAGAUAGCUGGUUCUCCCCGAAAGCUAUUUAGGUAGCGCCUCGUGAAUUCAUCUCCGGGGGUAGAGCACUGUUUCGGCAAGGGGGUCAUCCCGACUUACCAACCCGAUGCAAACUGCGAAUACCGGAGAAUGUUAUCACGGGAGACACACGGCGGGUGCUAACGUCCGUCGUGAAGAGGGAAACAACCCAGACCGCCAGCUAAGGUCCCAAAGUCAUGGUUAAGUGGGAAACGAUGUGGGAAGGCCCAGACAGCCAGGAUGUUGGCUUAGAAGCAGCCAUCAUUUAAAGAAAGCGUAAUAGCUCACUGGUCGAGUCGGCCUGCGCGGAAGAUGUAACGGGGCUAAACCAUGCACCGAAGCUGCGGCAGCGACGCUUAUGCGUUGUUGGGUA
RNAcentral lists this ribosomal RNA (811 nucleotides) under Escherichia coli. Its description in RNAcentral is "partial 23S ribosomal RNA". It matches the Rfam family "Bacterial large subunit ribosomal RNA", at positions 419 to 1230 of the family's 2925-position model. The record is from RNAcentral. Lineage: Bacteria; Pseudomonadati; Pseudomonadota; Gammaproteobacteria; Enterobacterales; Enterobacteriaceae.